This 604-nucleotide ribosomal RNA is filed under the name uncultured Hypocreales. RNAcentral's name for it is "SSU rRNA". It matches the Rfam family "Eukaryotic small subunit ribosomal RNA", at positions 737 to 1343 of the family's 1831-position model. The record is from RNAcentral. Lineage: Eukaryota; Fungi; Ascomycota; Sordariomycetes; Hypocreales.
GGGGAACCAGGACUUUUACUGUGAAAAAAUUAGAGUGCUCCAGGCAGGCCUAUGCUCGAAUACAUUAGCAUGGAAUAAUAGAAUAGGACGUGUGGUUCUAUUUUGUUGGUUUCUAGGACCGCCGUAAUGAUUAAUAGGGACAGUCGGGGGCAUCAGUAUUCAAUUGUCAGAGGUGAAAUUCUUGGAUUUAUUGAAGACUAACUACUGCGAAAGCAUUUGCCAAGGAUGUUUUCAUUAAUCAGGAACCAAAGUUAGGGGAUCGAAGACGAUCAGAUACCGUCGUAGUCUUAACCAUAAACUAUGCCGACUAGGGAUCGGACGGUGUUAUUUUUUGACCCGUUCGGCCCCUUACGAGAAAUCAAAGUGCUUGGGCUCCAGGGGGAGUAUGGUCGCAAGGCUGAAACUUAAAGAAAUUGACGGAAGGGCACCACCAGGGGUGGAGCCUGCGGCUUAAUUUGACUCAACACGGGGAAACUCACCAGGUCCAGACACAAUGAGGAUUGACAGAUUGAGAGCUCUUUCUUGAUUUUGUGGGUGGUGGUGCAUGGCCGUUCUUAGUUGGUGGAGUGAUUUGUCUGCUUAAUUGCGAUAACGAACGAGACCU